GAAAUGCAUUUAGGUGCAGCGUCACGUGUUUUCACAUCUGGGGUAGAGCUACUGGAUGGCCUAGGGGGCUUACCGGCUUACCGAAGUCAACCAAACUCCGAAUACAGGUGUGUGAGAGCGUGGCAGUGAGACGGCGGGGGGAUAAGCUUCGUCGUCGAGAGGGAAACAGCCCAGAACACCAGCUAAGGCCCCUAAGUGUGUGCUGAGUGGAAGGAUGUGGAGUCGCUGAGACAACCAGGAGUUGGCUUGAAGCAGCCAUCCUUGAAGAGUGCGUAAUAGCUCACUGGUCAAGUGGUUCUGCGCCGACAAUGUAGCGGGGCUAAGCACACCGCCGAAGCUGUGUCAUUCACACUUGUGAUCGGCCCAUACUCUUUGGGUGUGGGUCCAGUCGUGUGGAUGGGUAGGGGAGCGUCCUGCAUCCAGGGAAGCAGCCGGGUGACCGAGUUGUGGAGGGUGUGGGAGUGAGAAUGCAGGCAUGAGUAGCGAAUGCAGAGUGAGAAUCUCUGCCGCCGGAUGACCAAGGGUUCCUGGGCCAGGUUGUUCCGCCCAGGGUAAGUCGGGACCUAAGGCGAGGCCGACAGGCGUAGUCGAUGGACAACGGGUUGAUAUUCCCGUACCCGCGUGUGUGCGUCCCUGGCGAGGCAGGUGAGACUAACCACCCGCCCUGCGCGUUGCUCCUUCGGGAGUGUGUGUGGGGUGCGUGGGACCUGAUCUUGUAGUAGCCAAGCGAUGGGGUGACGCAGGAAGGUAGCCCCGCCAGUCAGUGGUGAUACUGGUGUAAGCGUGUGGCCCGCCCGAUAGGCAAAUCCGUCGGGCUGAUCUUCGAGAUCGAGGGUGAGGCGUGAUGCAUAGCCGUUGUGGCGAAGUAGGGUGAUCCUCUGCUGCCGAGAAAAGCCUCUAGCGAGUGCGCGCGUGGCCCGUACCCCAAACCGACACAGGUGGUCAGGUAGAGAAUACCAAGGCGAUCGGGUGAACUGUGGUUAAGGAACUCGGCAAAUUGCCCCCGUAACUUCGGGAGAAGGGGGGCCAAUGCACCUGAAGCUCUUUGCGGGCUAGGGUGGGUUGGCCGCAGAGACCAGCGGAAAGCGACUGUUUAUUAAAAACACAGGUCCAUGCGAAGACGUAAGUCGAUGUAUAUGGACUGACGCCUGCCCGGUGCUGGAACGUUAAGAGGACCGGUUAACCCCUUUCGGGGGGUGAAGCUGAGAAUUUAAGCGCCAGUAAACGGCGGUGGUAACUAUAACCAUCCUAAGGUAGCGAAAUUCCUUGUCGGGUAAGUUCCGACCUGCACGAAUGGCGUAACGACUUUCCGGCUGUCUCAACCACAGGCCCGGCGAAAUUGCACUACGAGUAAAGAUGCUCGUUUCGCGCGGCAGGACGGAAAGACCCCGGGACCUUUACUAUAGCUUGGUAUUGGUUUUCGGUUCGGCUUGUGUAGGAUAGGUGGGAGACUGUGAAGCGGCCACGCCAGUGGUCGUGGAGUCGUCGUUGAAAUACCACUCUGGCCGGAUUGGGAAUCUAACCUCGGACCGUGAGCCGGUUCAGGGACAGUGCCUGGUGGGUAGUUUAACUGGGGCGGUUGCCUCCUAAAGAGUAACGGAGGCGCCCAAAGGUUCCCUCAGCCUGGUUGGCAAUCAGGUGUUGAGUGUAAGUGCACAAGGGAGCUUGACUGUGAGACCGACAGGUCGAGCAGGUACGAAAGUAGGGACUAGUGAUCCGGCACCUCCUGGUGGAAGGGGUGUCGCUCAACGGAUAAAAGGUACCCCGGGGAUAACAGGCUGAUCUUGCCCAAGAGUCCAUAUCGACGGCAUGGUUUGGCACCUCGAUGUCGGCUCGUCGCAUCCUGGGGCCGGAGUAGGUCCCAAGGGUUGGGCUGUUCGCCCAUUAAAGCGGCACGCGAGCUGGGUUUAGAACGUCGUGAGACAGUUCGGUCCCUAUCCGCCGCGCGCGUUGGAGACUUGAGGAAGGCUGUCCCUAGUACGAGAGGACCGGGACGGACGAACCUCUGGUAUGCCAGUUGUCACGCCAGUGGCAUGGCUGGUUAGCUACGUUCGGAAGGGAUAACCGCUGAAGGCAUCUAAGCGGGAAGCCUGUUCCAAGAUGAGGUCUCCCACCACCUUUGAGUGGGUAAGGCCCCCUAGAGACGAUGGGGUUGAUAGGCCAGACAUGGAAGCGCAGUAAUGUGUUUUUGAGUGGACUGGUACUAAUCGGCCGAGGGCUUGACCU
Molecule: ribosomal RNA, 2226 nt
Filed under: Saccharomonospora azurea NA-128
Lineage: Bacteria; Bacillati; Actinomycetota; Actinomycetes; Pseudonocardiales; Pseudonocardiaceae
Description: partial 23S ribosomal RNA
Rfam family: Bacterial large subunit ribosomal RNA
Source: RNAcentral